CCGGCGCACGGGUGAGUAACACGUAUGCAACCUGGCCGUGACAGAUGGAUAACCGGGAGAAAUCCCGCCUAAUACAGCAUGACGCCGGGAAGGGACAUCCCUUUCCGGUCAAAGGAGGCGACUCCGGCAUAGGAUGGCCAUGCGUCGCAUUAGCUAGUCGGCGGGGUAACGGCCCACCGAGGCGACGAUGCGUAGGGGUUCUGAGAGGAAGGUCCCCCACACUGGUACUGAGACACGGACCAGACUCCUACGGGAGGCAGCAG
RNAcentral lists this ribosomal RNA (263 nucleotides) under uncultured bacterium. Its description in RNAcentral is "partial 16S ribosomal RNA". It matches the Rfam family "Bacterial small subunit ribosomal RNA", at positions 95 to 354 of the family's 1533-position model. The record is from RNAcentral.